ACGGAGGGGGCUAGCGUUGUUCGGAAUUACUGGGCGUAAAGCGCACGUAGGCGGAUAGUUAAGUUAGAGGUGAAAGCCCAGGGCUCAACCCUGGAACUGCCUUUGAUACUGGCUGUCUGGAGGUCGAGAGAGGUGAGUGGAAUUCCGAGUGUAGAGGUGAAAUUCGUAGAUAUUCGGAGGAACACCAGUGGCGAAGGCGGCUCACUGGCUCGAUACUGACGCUGAGGUGCGAAAGCGUGGGGAGCAAACAG
RNAcentral lists this ribosomal RNA (251 nucleotides) under uncultured prokaryote. RNAcentral's name for it is "partial 16S rRNA". It matches the Rfam family "Bacterial small subunit ribosomal RNA", at positions 525 to 775 of the family's 1533-position model. The record is from RNAcentral.